Long non-coding RNA from Humulus lupulus (European hop), 582 nucleotides. RefSeq lists it as uncharacterized. The transcript has 4 exons. Lineage: Eukaryota; Viridiplantae; Streptophyta; Magnoliopsida; Rosales; Cannabaceae. The record is from RefSeq and is a predicted model, not a curated record.
UGCUACUUUAGAGUGGUGUGAAUCCAAUGUUAUAAAGUUUAACUCCCAUUUAAUUAAGAAGUCAAGUGGGCAAGUGGGUAGAAAAGCACUCAAGUACUUUGUGAUAUUUUGAAGAGUUUUGUGAGCAAUUCCCACACUAAGAACCGACCACUCUCCCUCUCUCAUUCACUCAUCUGAUUUUUGAAGACCUCUCAAAGUGUUCUCUCCUUUAUUCAACCUCGAGAACACCAAGGAAAACUUGGAGGCUAAGUCUUGGUCUAGGAAGUAUUUUCCCUAAGUUGGUUAGGGAUUUUGAAAGGUUUUGAAGGAGUCAAAGCUUAUAGGAAGGUCCAAACCUUAAGCAAGAACACCAAAGAGUAUUGGCUAAGCGUAACUGGACUGAACGUUGGAGGGUGAAAACCUGCUGAGCGCUAAGGACUCCAAGUAAGAGCAAGGGCAAGGCAGAGCAGUGAGCGCUGGAGUCUUCCUUGCAAAUGUACAUGUGGACCGACCUUUUGGGAAGCCUUUUUAUUUUUGGAAAUGUUGUGUAAUUUUCCUAAACUAGGCUCACUCUAAUCUUUAUAAAACAUGUUUGUAACUAAA